AGUCACUGACAUUAGAUACCCCUGUAGUCCAGGGUGUAAACGCUGCAGACUUGGUGUUGGAGGCCCUUUGGGGGCGUUCAGUGCCGGAGAGAAGUUGUUAAGUCUGCUACUUGGGGAGUACGUCCGCAAGGAUGAAACUUAAAGGAAUUGGCGGGGGAGCACCGCAACGGGAGGAGCGUGCGGUUUAAUUGGAUUCAACACCGUAAACUCACCAGGGAAGACUGUUACAUGAAGGCCGAGAUGAAGACUCUGCUAGAUUUUCAG
This 264-nucleotide ribosomal RNA is filed under the name uncultured archaeon. Its description in RNAcentral is "partial 16S ribosomal RNA". It matches the Rfam family "Archaeal small subunit ribosomal RNA", at positions 718 to 982 of the family's 1478-position model. The record is from RNAcentral.